RNAcentral lists this microRNA precursor (67 nucleotides) under Bombyx mori (domestic silkworm). RNAcentral's name for it is "mir-2774 microRNA precursor family". It matches the Rfam family "mir-2774 microRNA precursor family". Lineage: Eukaryota; Metazoa; Arthropoda; Insecta; Lepidoptera; Bombycidae. The record is from Rfam by way of RNAcentral.
AAAACAUUCGGACCGUCGGUCUACCGAGCAAUAUCACCCUCUCGGUAGAAGAUAGACCCUUCAACGU